UACGUAGGGGGCGAGCGUUGUCCGGAUUUAUUGGGCGUAAAGAGCUCGUAGGCGGUUCGAUAAGUCGGACGUGAAAUCUCCACGCUCAACGUGGAGGGGCCGUUCGAUACUGUCGUGACUCGAGUCCGGUAGGGGAGUGUGGAAUUCCCGGUGUAGCGGUGAAAUGCGCAGAGAUCGGGAGGAACACCCGUAGCGAAGGCGGCACUCUGGGCCGGUACUGACGCUGAGGAGCGAAAGCGUGGGGAGCAAACAGGGAGUUAAGAAACCCUGGUACGUCG
This 278-nucleotide ribosomal RNA is filed under the name uncultured bacterium. Its description in RNAcentral is "partial 16S ribosomal RNA". It matches the Rfam family "Bacterial small subunit ribosomal RNA", at positions 524 to 796 of the family's 1533-position model. The record is from RNAcentral.